RNAcentral lists this ribosomal RNA (253 nucleotides) under uncultured bacterium. RNAcentral's name for it is "partial 16S ribosomal RNA". It matches the Rfam family "Bacterial small subunit ribosomal RNA", at positions 524 to 776 of the family's 1533-position model. The record is from RNAcentral.
UACAGAGGGUGCAAGCGUUAAUCGGAAUUACUGGGCGUAAAGCGUGCGUAGACGGUUACAUAAGUCGGGUGUGAAAGCCCCGGGCUCAACCUGGGAAUUGCAUUCGAGACUGCGUAGCUAGGGUGCGGAAGAGGGAAGCGGAAUUUCCAGUGGAGCGGUGAAAUGCGUAGAGAUUGGAAAGAACACCAAUGGCGAAAGCACUUUACUGGGCUAUUACUGACACUGAGAGACGAAAGCUAGGGUAGCAAAUGGG